UACGUAGGGGGCUAGCGUUGUCCGGAAUCAUUGGGCGUAAAGAGCGUGUAGGCGGUCCGGUAAGUCCGCUGUGAAAGUCGGGGGCUCAACCCUCGAAUGCCGGUGGAUACUGUCGGGCUAGAGUGCGGAAGAGGCGAGUGGAAUUCCUGGUGUAGUGGUGAAAUGCGCAGAUAUCAGGAGGAACACCUAUUGCGAAGGCAGCUCGCUGGGACGUAACUGACGCUGAGGCGCGAAAGCGUGGGUAGCAAACAGG
RNAcentral lists this ribosomal RNA (253 nucleotides) under uncultured bacterium. RNAcentral describes it as "partial 16S ribosomal RNA". It matches the Rfam family "Bacterial small subunit ribosomal RNA", at positions 524 to 776 of the family's 1533-position model. The record is from RNAcentral.